AAAACGUUUUGAUUAAUUAAUCAAUAAAAAAAAAUAUUGGACGUCCGCCUAAAAAAUCUGGAUCCUCCAUGGCGGAAAUUUUAGGCGGAUGUACGCUUUUCAAAAAAAAAAAAUUUGAGGACUUACAGAAUCCUUCGACGAUGCCUCCGGUGUACGAUCGUUGUCGUCAUCCAUCGUCCUAAACCAGUCGCUAAAGUUUAAUAAAAUAAUUUUUUAAAAAAAUGGGAUUUUUGGUGGUGGGCUCGGGAAUUUUGGGUUGGAUGUCGUGGGGUUGGAUGUGAUGGGCUCGGGAAUUUUUUUAACCAAGUGUUGGAUUGAAUGUGCUUGGGAAUAAUAUUAAAAUGCUUGGGAAUCUUUUUAACUAAGUGGUGGAGCCUUAUAUAGUCCAAGUUAUGAAAAGGGUGGUCCUUUCAUGUCAAAAUGGGAGCAACGCCCGGUAAAUUGGGAUCGAUGUUUAGCAGUUCAGUUGAUAUCAUGUGAGAACCUAGGUCUAUAAUAGGAACUAGAAACUUAUCAGGACCGUUGAUCGCGCUAAAUCUAACGGUCGAGAUUCCACUCGCUUCAUUAAUGGCAAAUUAGUAAAUUUGAUAUUUUGAAUGAAUACCCAACAUUUCAUCAGUUUCUUUUUUUUCACUUUCUCUCUCUUCUUUCAAAUUCUCUCUGCUGCGUACUGCGAUUUUUUCAUUAUUUUAUAUAAAAAUCUUUGAAUUUUUUCUUCGCUCUUCACCGCCUGAUAUUUUGAACAAAGUAAUCCAAUGUCAGACACACAAGUUGGUGCUGCAAUGUCAAUUUUACUUGGCACCAACACAUGCUUUCAACUGCUAGUUCAUCCAAGGUUUGCAGAACCAAUCGCUUUUGAUUCAGGUAUGUCUUUUUUAUUGGCUUAAUAAACUGAACUAGUGCAAAUAGGUAGUGAUUAUGCGGGCUGGGUGUCGUGGCUCAAAACAACAUGGAAGGAUUGUGUGGACUGCUUAAUGAUGCAUGUCAGAUAUGCAGCAGAACAAGGUUUAGGCUUCUUGUGGCUCGUAUAUUGAGUGUGAAGCGAAUACGGUUCGAAGGAGAUGCAAUUUCUGUGUUUUUUAGGUUAAUGCUAGCACUAGAACUGUUGUUAGAAGUUCUGUAAACUACAUGAAUAUCAAAUGUAAGAGUAAAGUCUCAGUUUUCAGGGAUCUCUAGUCCAGUGCAUUUCAAUUUGUUUUGUGUACGGUAAAAAUGUGCUUUGAUUUCAAACUUUUUGUUAUCUAAGAA
Chenopodium quinoa (quinoa) is the source of this 1248-nucleotide long non-coding RNA. RefSeq lists it as uncharacterized. Lineage: Eukaryota; Viridiplantae; Streptophyta; Magnoliopsida; Caryophyllales; Amaranthaceae. The record is from RefSeq and is a predicted model, not a curated record. The transcript has 2 exons.